CUCGAUGUCGGCUCAUCGCAUCCUGGGGCUGAAGAAGGUCCCAAGGGUUGGUCUGUUCGCCCAUUAAAGCGGUACGCGAGCUGGGUUUAGAACGUCGUAAGACAGUUCGGUCCCUAUCCGUCAUGGGCAUAGGAUAUUUGAAGGGAGCUGCCCUUAGUACGAGAGGAUUGGGGUGGACGAGCCUCUAGUGCACCGGUUGUCGCGCCAGCGGCAUAGCCGGGUAGCUACGCUCGGAAAGGAUAAUCGCUGAAAGCAUCUAAGCGAGAAGCCUGCCCUAAGAUAAGAUAUCCCUGACUUGGGCUUGCCCAAGUCUUGAAGUCACCUUGGAGAUGACAAGGUUGAUAGGUCACAGAUGCAAGCACAGUAAUGUGUUUAGUCGAGUGAUACUAAUCUGACGUUCGGCUUGACCAU
This 411-nucleotide ribosomal RNA is filed under the name Spirochaetota bacterium. RNAcentral's name for it is "Spirochaetes bacterium (freshwater sediment metagenome) partial 23S ribosomal RNA". It matches the Rfam family "Bacterial large subunit ribosomal RNA", at positions 2525 to 2925 of the family's 2925-position model. Lineage: Bacteria; Pseudomonadati; Spirochaetota. The record is from RNAcentral.